Molecule: non-coding RNA, 1326 nt
Organism: Chiloscyllium plagiosum (whitespotted bambooshark)
Lineage: Eukaryota; Metazoa; Chordata; Chondrichthyes; Orectolobiformes; Hemiscylliidae
Source: RefSeq, a predicted model, not a curated record
CCCAGGACCCAGCUACUGCAGGAUAGCUGGGGCAGGAGCAGCUGAGUCUAAGGCAUUGGCUACUUUGGCUAGGGCCUGCCAUUUUAGGGCUCCCCAUGGUGCACUGCUGGACAGCCUCAGAUGGUCAUCUUCUGUGUGGACAUCAAGUAAUAAGGCGAUCCCGAUUCUAGAAGGCCCAGGCAGUAGUGGCAACAGUCCAGAAUUUGGUGAGGCCCAGGCAACAACAGUGGAGACAGGCCCAGUUGCAAAGAGCAAAUGAUUGGACUCCAACAAUGACCUUUGCGCUAGGUAUGACUUCAAACAGUGGAACUUUCCCUGAUUUCCAUUGAGUUCAGUUUCAUAGGGCUUCUCGAUGCCCACACUUGAUCAAAGCUUGCCUUGAAGACAGGACGAUUACCUUCACCUCAGCUUUGGAAUUCAGCUGUUUUGUCCUUGUUUGGAUCACAUCUGGAAUGAGAUCUGGAAAUGAGCAACAAUGAUGAUGGCAUUUGAGAAAUUAUCACUUGACCACACUGCUGAGAACACUUUGCAUUGAUUGAAAAUACACUUCUGGGGAGGUAAAUGGCCAGUUUGGAUUUUUCCCUGGUUUUUGCAGACAGGAUAUUAACGAUCUGUCUCUGGGCAAGCAGCCCAAGACUUCAUGGCAGCAAACUAAGGUUGUGUGACUCAAUCUGAACUCCCACUGCAACACUUCAAUGUUGCAUGACUUGUGCUUGUGUUGCAGUGGUAUUUUAUGUCACAUCCUGCAAUAUUUUCAUGGAGUCAUCACCAGUUCCAAACUGAAAUGGAUGGACUCCAAGCACUAUGAAAAGGUGAUGUCAGACCUCCCUACACAAGUACUAGCCGAUCUGCCAAUGUGCCAAGUAUUUCUUUUCACAUGCACUUCAGCCUUUUUCUCUAUGGGAUCAAUUUGAAGUCUUCAUCUCAGAUCUCUGCAGCAGAAUUCACGUGAUUGCAUCUUUCACAGGGCUGACAGACUCUCAACCUUUUCCCUUUGCUCUGGAUGUUGUCUUAUAAUGAGCUGAUCAUGCCACUGUGCUAUUCUAUUUACCAUUAUCUGGCUCCCCAUUACUGGCCACAACCCAAGACACAUCUGCAUUUGUGGUAGUGAUAACCAUCUCUUCUAACAUUGUAAGGACAUGUAGCCACGCUGCUCCCCUCUGGACAAUCUGUUCAGGCGACUGUCAUGGAUGAACGAUGGUUAAUAACUGGCAAUGUAUGUAAGCUAUGAGAUGUGGGUGGUAAGGCUUGUGCUCGUGUGUGAAGGCAAAGUGAAACUAUGAAUGUGAGUCAUUGUUUAUACAGACUGAGAGAAAUUAAAUAUAA